Molecule: transfer RNA, 73 nt
Filed under: Stegodyphus mimosarum
Lineage: Eukaryota; Metazoa; Arthropoda; Arachnida; Araneae; Eresidae
Rfam family: tRNA
About the family: Transfer RNA (tRNA) molecules are approximately 80 nucleotides in length. Their secondary structure includes four short double-helical elements and three loops (D, anti-codon, and T loops).
Source: Rfam by way of RNAcentral
GUCUUCGUGGUGUAAUGGUCAGCACACUCGGCAUGUAUUCGAAAAGUCCCAGGUUCGAGUCCCAGCGAGAACA